ACGUGGUAUCCUGUCUGAAUAUGGGGGGACCAUCCUCCAAGGCUAAAUACUCCUGACUGACCGAUAGUGAACCAGUACCGUGAGGGAAAGGCGAAAAGAACCCCGGCGAGGGGAGUGAAAAAGAACCUGAAACCGUGUACGUACAAGCAGUGGGAGCACAGGUUUACCUGUGUGACUGCGUACCUUUUGUAUAAUGGGUCAGCGACUUAUAUUCUGUAGCAAGGUUAACCGUAUAGGGGAGCCGUAGGGAAACCGAGUCUUAACCGGGCGUUAAGUUGCAGGGUAUAGACCCGAAACCCGGUGAUCUAGCCAUGGGCAGGUUGAAGGUUGGGUAACACUAACUGGAGGACCGAACCGACUAAUGUUGAAAAAUUAGCGGAUGACCUGUGGCUGGGGGUGAAAGGCCAAUCAAACCGGGAGAUAGCUGGUUCUCCCCGAAAGCUAUUUAGGUAGCGCCUCGUGAAUUCAUCUCCGGGGGUAGAGCACUGUUUCGGCUAGGGGGCCAUCCCGGCUUACCAACCCGAUGCAAACUGCGAAUACCGGAGAAUGUUAUCACGGGAGACACACGGCGGGUGCUAACGUCCGUCGUGAAGAGGGAAACAACCCAGACCGCCAGCUAAGGUCCCAAAGUCAUGGUUAAGUGGGAAACGAUGUGGGAAGGCCCAGACAGCCAGGAUGUUGGCUUAGAAGCAGCCAUCAUUUAAAGAAAGCGUAAUAGCUCACUGGUCGAGUCGGCCUGCGCGGAAGAUGUAACGGGGCUAAACCAUG
This 768-nucleotide ribosomal RNA is filed under the name Salmonella enterica subsp. enterica serovar Hvittingfoss. Its description in RNAcentral is "partial 23S ribosomal RNA". It matches the Rfam family "Bacterial large subunit ribosomal RNA", at positions 424 to 1191 of the family's 2925-position model. The record is from RNAcentral. Lineage: Bacteria; Pseudomonadati; Pseudomonadota; Gammaproteobacteria; Enterobacterales; Enterobacteriaceae.